ACUCCUACGGGAGGCAGCAGUCGAGAAUAAUUCACAAUGGGGGCAACCCUGAUGGUGCAACGCCGCGUGGAGGAUGAAGGUCUUCGGAUUGUAAACUCCUGUCAUCCGGGAGUAAGACCUGGCGGUUAACAGCCGACAGGGUUGAUAGUACCGGAAGAGGAAGGGACGGCUAACUUCGUGCCAGCAGCCGCGGUAAUACGAAGGUCCCGAGCGUUGUUCGGAAUCACUGGGCGUAAAGGGAGCGUAGGCGGUGCGGUAAGUCAGAUGUGAAAUCCCGGGGCUCAACCCCGGAACUGCAUCCGAUACUGCCGUGCUAGAGCAAUGGAGGGGUAGCCGGAAUUCUCGGUGUAGCAGUGAAAUGCGUGGAUAUCGAGAGGAACACUCGUGGCGAAGGCGGGCUACUGGACAUUUGCUGACGCUGAGGCUCGAAGGCCGGGGGAGCGAAAGGGAUUAGAUACCCUGGUAGGCUCU
This 471-nucleotide ribosomal RNA is filed under the name uncultured bacterium. Its description in RNAcentral is "bacterial SSU rRNA". It matches the Rfam family "Bacterial small subunit ribosomal RNA", at positions 335 to 798 of the family's 1533-position model. The record is from RNAcentral.